Molecule: ribosomal RNA, 420 nt
Filed under: bacterium
Lineage: Bacteria
Description: partial 16S ribosomal RNA
Rfam family: Bacterial small subunit ribosomal RNA
Source: RNAcentral
UGGGGGAUAUUGCACAAUGGGCGAAAGCCUGAUGCAGCGACGCCGCGUGGGGGAUGAAGGCUUUCGGGUUGUAAACCUCUUUCGCUAUCGAACAAGGCCCGCUUAGGGUGGGUUGAGGGUAGGCGGAGUAGAAGCGCCGGCUAACUACGUGCCAGCAGCCGCGGUAAUACGUAGGGCGCGAGCGUUGUCCGGAAUUAUUGGGCGUAAAGGGCUUGUAGGCGGCUUGUUGCGCCUGCUGUGAAAACGCGGGGCUUAACUUCGCGCGUGCAGUGGGUACGGGCAGGCUUGAGUGUGGUAGGGGUGACUGGAAUUCCAGGUGUAGCGGUGGAAUGCGCAGAUAUCUGGAGGAACACCGAUGGCGAAGGCAGGUCACUGGGCCAUUACUGGCGCUGAGGAGCGAAAGCAUGGGUAGCGAACAGG